This 83-nucleotide transfer RNA is filed under the name Saccharomyces cerevisiae Kyokai no. 7. RNAcentral describes it as "tRNA-Ser". It matches the Rfam family "tRNA". From Rfam's summary of the family: Transfer RNA (tRNA) molecules are approximately 80 nucleotides in length. Their secondary structure includes four short double-helical elements and three loops (D, anti-codon, and T loops). Further hydrogen bonds mediate the characteristic L-shaped molecular structure. tRNAs have two regions of fundamental functional importance: the anti-codon, which is responsible for specific mRNA codon recognition, and the 3' end, to which the tRNAs corresponding amino acid is attached (by aminoacyl-tRNA synthetases). tRNAs cope with the degeneracy of the genetic code in two manners: having more than one tRNA (with a specific anti-codon) for a particular amino acid; and 'wobble' base-pairing, i.e. permitting non-standard base-pairing at the 3rd anti-codon position. The record is from RNAcentral. Lineage: Eukaryota; Fungi; Ascomycota; Saccharomycetes; Saccharomycetales; Saccharomycetaceae.
GUCCCAGUGGCCGAGUGGUUAAGGCGAUGCCCUGCUAUAGGCAUUGGGUUUUACCUGCGCAGGUUCGAAUCCUGUCUGUGACG